This 238-nucleotide long non-coding RNA is filed under the name Elaeis guineensis (African oil palm). RNAcentral describes it as "long non-coding RNA (EGUI_LNC028754)". The record is from RNAcentral. Lineage: Eukaryota; Viridiplantae; Streptophyta; Magnoliopsida; Arecales; Arecaceae.
CUGGUGCUGUCAUCAAUCUAUGGAGACAAGGAUUUAUUACGAUGCCAUGUUGGGUGUCCCAAUAUACGCAUUCUAUUGUGUGGCUAUUCAGCUGCUGUAUUCUGGUUAUUCUGCUGGUCUCCUCUUCAGGCUACACUUCUCUGUUCCAUCAUCAUAUUGCUGCUGUAUUUGGAUGUAUUGGGGCAAUAUAGUUUCUUGGCUUCAUUUGUUUGGACUUCGCCUUGCCUUAAUGCUCUGC